GCCAAAAGUGCGAAAAAAAUCAUAUAAAAACGUCUGAAAACGAAACUGAUUUAAAAAACAGUAACAGGACGACACAUUAAAUCAGAUUAUAGAGAAUCAUUUAACGGUAGAUGAAUAUUUUAACAAAAUGUAAAGCACCAUAAAGUCUAAGGAAAAUGUGAAUAAAUUUAAUUAUUAAAGAUAUGCCAUCAUCACCGAAAUCCAUAAAUUACAAAACUUAUUUUUAGAUAUACAGACAGCCAUAUAUCAGGUUCCUGUCUUAUUACAAUGAUGUCCAAAACUCUUCCAUACCGUCUCGGACAUUCGUGAAAAUAGAGAAGACAUAACAAGUUUAUUGAAAUGUUGAAAUACGUGCAGAUGUUACGGAAUUGGUGAAGUACCAUAUUUUUGUUUUCAGAAAAAGUACAUAUGUACUUUAAAGUUAUCUGUUUACAUCACAGGAGUAUUAUUGCCUAACACAAAUCGUUUACUGUUGAUGUAAAAUAUUUAUAGUAUAAGAAACA
Molecule: long non-coding RNA, 503 nt
Filed under: Mytilus galloprovincialis (Mediterranean mussel)
Lineage: Eukaryota; Metazoa; Mollusca; Bivalvia; Mytilida; Mytilidae
Source: RNAcentral